This 487-nucleotide long non-coding RNA is filed under the name Nicotiana benthamiana. Its description in RNAcentral is "long non-coding RNA (NBEN_LNC028518)". Lineage: Eukaryota; Viridiplantae; Streptophyta; Magnoliopsida; Solanales; Solanaceae. The record is from RNAcentral.
UUUGUUUCGAAAUAAUGAUGUAAUUAUAUUGUAUAACUACUCUUAUAAAGGCUUGUGACGUGUAAUACCGAUUUUAGGAAUGGCAAAUUGUUGAGAAAUUUCAUUAUGAGUUAAUAAGUAUCAAUGUUAUUCAGUUAAUGUUAGGCUUACCUAGUUUAGAGACUAGGUGCCAUCACGACUCCUUCGGAGGGAUUUUUUGGUCGUGACAAAAGUAAACUGCAUUCCCGCUGAUACAAGGGUCUGGAGAAAUGCCGGGACUAGAUCCUUCUUCUUGGAAGCCCUAUGGCCAAUCACGGCGAAGAGGUCGUAUCAAUAAACAACAAUGAACAGUCAAAAGCCAAAACAAAAAGAACACUUACCAGAUGGAACUUUCGGCCUAAAGAGUUUGAGGAAGGCAGACCAAUCUCGAGUUCCCACCACAUAUAGCAGUACGCAAGCCACCCAGUCCUCGAUACCGACGACGGGAAAAGGUUCAAGUCUUUCAACU